UCGAGGUGACCACGUCGGGGGGUGUGGCGGCGCUCGCGCCGCCGCCGGUGGCGCCGAUCGCUCCGGCGACCAUGAG
RNAcentral lists this transfer RNA (76 nucleotides) under Paraplanobispora takensis. Its description in RNAcentral is "Planobispora takensis tRNA-Ala". Lineage: Bacteria; Bacillati; Actinomycetota; Actinomycetes; Streptosporangiales; Streptosporangiaceae. The record is from RNAcentral.